RNAcentral lists this ribosomal RNA (473 nucleotides) under uncultured bacterium. Its description in RNAcentral is "bacterial SSU rRNA". It matches the Rfam family "Bacterial small subunit ribosomal RNA", at positions 330 to 795 of the family's 1533-position model. The record is from RNAcentral.
CCCAAACUCCUACGGGAGGCAGCAGUAGGGAAUCUUCCACAAUGGGCGAAAGCCUGAUGGAGCAACGCCGCGUGGGUGAAGAAGGUCUUCGGAUCGUAAAACCCUGUUGUUAGAGAAGAAAGUGCGUGAGAGUAACUGUUCACGUUUCGACGGUAUCUAACCAGAAAGCCACGGCUAACUACGUGCCAGCAGCCGCGGUAAUACGUAGGUGGCAAGCGUUAUCCGGAUUUAUUGGGCGUAAAGGGAACGCAGGCGGUCUUUUAAGUCUGAUGUGAAAGCCUUCGGCUUAACCGGAGUAGUGCAUUGGAAACUGGGAGACUUGAGUGCAGAAGAGGAGAGUGGAACUCCAUGUGUAGCGGUGAAAUGCGUAGAUAUAUGGAAGAACACCAGUGGCGAAAGCGGCUCUCUGGUCUGUAACUGACGCUGAGGUUCGAAAGCGUGGGUAGCAAACAGGAUUAGAUACCCUGGUAGUC